This 253-nucleotide ribosomal RNA is filed under the name uncultured bacterium. RNAcentral describes it as "partial 16S ribosomal RNA". It matches the Rfam family "Bacterial small subunit ribosomal RNA", at positions 524 to 776 of the family's 1533-position model. The record is from RNAcentral.
UACGUAGGGCGCAAGCGUUGUCCGGAAUUAUUGGGCGUAAAGAGCUCGUAGGCGGUCUGUCGCGUCCGUCGUGAAAGCCCGGGGCUUAACUCCGGGUCUGCGGUGGAUACGGGCAGACUAGAGGCAGGUAGGGGAGAACGGAAUUCCCGGUGUAGCGGUGAAAUGCGCAGAUAUCGGGAGGAACACCGGUGGCGAAGGCGGCAUCCUGGACCGACACUGACGCUGAGGAGCGAAAGCCAGGGGAGCAAACGGG